Molecule: ribosomal RNA, 254 nt
Filed under: uncultured bacterium
Lineage: Bacteria
Description: partial 16S ribosomal RNA
Rfam family: Bacterial small subunit ribosomal RNA
Source: RNAcentral
CACGUAGGGUGCGAGCGUUGUCCGGAAUUAUUGGGCGUAAAGAGCUCGUAGGCGGUCUGUCGCGUCGGUCGUGAAAACCUGCAGCUUAACUGUGGGCUUGCGGUCGAUACGGGCAUGACUGGAGUUCGGCAGGGGAGACUGGAAUUCCUGGUGUAACGGUGAAAUGCGCAGAUAUCAGGAAGAACACCCGUGGCGAAGGCGGUUCUCUGGGACGGUACUGACGCUGAGACGCGAAAGCGUGGGGAGCGAACAGG